AACGAACGCUGGCGGCAUACCUAACACAUGCAAGUCGAACGAGAUCUUCGGGUCUAGUGGCGCACGGGUGCGUAACGCGUGGGAAUCUGCCCUUUGGUUCGGAGUAACAGUUGGAAACGACUGCUAAUACCGGAUGAUGACGAAAGUCCAAAGAUUUAUCGCCAGAGGAUGAGCCCGCGUAGGAUUAGCUAGUUGGUGUGGUAAAGGCGCACCAAGGCGACGAUCCUUAGCUGGUCUGAGAGGAUGAUCAGCCAAACUGGGACUGAGACACGGCCCAGACUCCUACGGGAGGCAGCAGUGGGGAAUAUUGGACAAUGGGCGAAAGCCUGAUCCAGCAAUGCCGCGUGAGUGAUGAAGGCCUUAGGGUUGUAAAGCUCUUUUACCCGGGAUGAUAAUGACAGUACCGGGAGAAUAAGCUCCGGCUAACUCCGUGCCAGCAGCCGCGGUAA
Molecule: ribosomal RNA, 449 nt
Filed under: uncultured bacterium
Lineage: Bacteria
Description: partial 16S ribosomal RNA
Rfam family: Bacterial small subunit ribosomal RNA
Source: RNAcentral